UACGUAGGUGGCAAGCGUUGUCCGGAUUUACUGGGCGUAAAGAGCGCGCAGGCGGUCGUACAAGUCGCGUGUGAAAGCCCCCGGCUCAACUGGGGAGGGUCACGCGAUACUGUUCGACUCGAAGGCAGGAGAGGGAAGCAGAAUUCCCGGUGUAGUGGUGAAAUGCGUAGAUAUCUGGAGGAAUACCGGUGGCGAAGGCGGCAUCCUGGACCGACAUUGACGCUGAACGGCGAAAGCUAGGGGAGCAAACGGG
This 253-nucleotide ribosomal RNA is filed under the name uncultured bacterium. Its description in RNAcentral is "partial 16S ribosomal RNA". It matches the Rfam family "Bacterial small subunit ribosomal RNA", at positions 524 to 776 of the family's 1533-position model. The record is from RNAcentral.